UAUGUCCUUGGUGGACUUGGUGGACGGGAUCGGAGAGGAUCCCUUUCCCAUUUUUUUGUCCAUUUAAAUUAAGUUCAUUCAUUCAAUUUCAUCCCUAAUAAGUACUAAUUUCAUCCUAAUAUAAUAGUAUGAUGAAAUUAGCACUUUUAAAUGAACUUAGGGAUUUAUUUUGGGUACUAAAAUUUUAAAUCAAAUUUACAAAUUAAACGAUGUAUCACUAAUAGGAAUAAGUACGUUAAUCAACACUUAAAUAAUAAUUCAAUUAUCAACAACCACAUCAUUUGGUUUACAAAAUAUGGUUUAAAAUUUUGCUUUCUACUGUUACAUCAUUACCAUUAUUUUAUUGAAAAUAUAUUUAGGACUUAUUUUUCACUCAUGUAAUAAUUCAAAGACUAAAAAAUAGACAUAUCGCACCAAAUCAUAAUAUCUCAAUAGGAUUUUAAUCAAAUUGAUUCCCAUAGUUUGGUCAAGCAAAUAUGACCUCGUUUGGGUGAAUUUCAAUGCUUUUACUAGAUCGGAUGCUUUAAACCUUAAAAAGGGUAUAAGAUUAACCCAUUUUGUCAAUCACAGAUGCUUGUGCUUCCCAAUCAAAUUUUAGUAAUUGGUACUUAAUUUCGUGGGACUUGAAAGCCGAAAAUCUUCUUUUGGGGUUAGAUGGAUUGUGGAAGUUGUGUGAUUUUGGAAGCAGCUCCACCAGUCACAAGCACAGGGCACUCCGAGAAGCCUGAAGAAAUAAGUAGAGUAUUCUAAAAAGCACACAAUACCUGUCUAUAGAGGCCCCAUGGUUGAACAUAAAACUUUAUUUUCCAACUCGAAUGCGUGAUCUUCGGAGAAAAUAAGCUGUAUUUUUACUUAUUUAUGUUUGAUGAGGAGUGUAGGAAGCCUUGGUCCUUUUUCUUUGUGCUUGCCUUGUGUUUUUUAUUAGAGCAUGUCAUUGUCCAUAGAAAAUUCAGACUUGGAAUUCUCUAACAAUCCACCGCCGAUUGAUUGCGUCCAAUCCAAGAUAUCUACCUACAAUUUUUCAAAGCUAAUUCAAAAUAAAUAAGAUUGAUUGACUCAAACACGUUAGGCAGCACUUUUGUUAAUUCUAAAAUUACGCCAAUGAUAACCGGUAAUGAUUUGGUGUUAACUGAAAAUAAGAAUAUCGCUUGUAUUGAAAGGAGACAAAUAAUACAAUCAAAUUCAAUAGACAAAUAACAGAAUUAAGGAAGCAAAAAAUGAAAUGAAUAAACAAAGCACCGUAAAUAUGACUAACACCGCAAGUAACGAUGGAGAUAAAUCAACAUGUGUAUAUAACAAAUUGUUUGUCUAACAAGAGGAUGGAAAGCGUUAAUAAU
Molecule: long non-coding RNA, 1337 nt
Filed under: Malus domestica (apple)
Lineage: Eukaryota; Viridiplantae; Streptophyta; Magnoliopsida; Rosales; Rosaceae
Description: long non-coding RNA (MDOM_LNC002258)
Source: RNAcentral